CUUGAGGCGUGGCUUCCGGAGCUAACGCGUUAAGUCGACCGCCUGGGGAGUACGGCCGCAAGGUUAAAACUCAAAUGAAUUGACGGGGGCCCGCACAAGCGGUGGAGCAUGUGGUUUAAUUCGAUGCAACGCGAAGAACCUUACCUGGCCUUGACAUCCAGAGAACUUAGCAGAGAUGCUUUGGUGCCUUCGGGAACUCUGAGACAGGUGCUGCAUGGCUGUCGUCAGCUCGUGUUGUGAAAUGUUGGGUUAAGUCCCGCAACGAGCGCAACCCUUAUCCUUUGUUGCCAGCGGCUCGGCCGGGAACUCAAAGGAGACUGCCGGUGAUAAACCGGAGGAAGGUGGGGAUGACGUCAAGUCAUCAUGGCCCUUACGGCCAGGGCUACACACGUGCUACAAUGGCGCAUACAAAGAGAAGCGACCUCGCGAGAGCAAGCGGACCUCAUAAAGUGCGUCGUAGUCCGGAUUGGAGUCUGCAACUCGACUCCAUGAAGUCGGAAUCGCUAGUAAUCGUAGAUCAGAAUGCUACGGUGAAUACGUUCCCGGGCCUUGUACACACCGCCCGUCACACCAUGGGAGUGGGUUGCAAAAGAAGUAGGUAGCUUAACCUUCGGGAGGGCGCUUACCACUUUGUGAUUCAUGACUGGGGUGAAGUC
Molecule: ribosomal RNA, 656 nt
Filed under: Pantoea sp. DJM1F12
Lineage: Bacteria; Pseudomonadati; Pseudomonadota; Gammaproteobacteria; Enterobacterales; Erwiniaceae
Description: bacterial SSU rRNA
Rfam family: Bacterial small subunit ribosomal RNA
Source: RNAcentral